This 107-nucleotide small nucleolar RNA is filed under the name Oryza barthii. RNAcentral describes it as "Plant small nucleolar RNA R71". It matches the Rfam family "Plant small nucleolar RNA R71". Rfam says of the family: R71 is a member of the C/D box family of snoRNAs containing the C (UGAUGA) and D (CUGA) box motifs. Multiple nearly identical copies of this snoRNA have been identified in Arabidopsis, and it is thought to function as a 2'-O-ribose methylation guide for 18S ribosomal RNA. Lineage: Eukaryota; Viridiplantae; Streptophyta; Magnoliopsida; Poales; Poaceae. The record is from Rfam by way of RNAcentral.
CUCCCAUGAUGAGGACAGGCGGCUAUGUACUCCUGCAAUCAGUCCCACGAUUCUGGAAUAGACUCGUCCCUCGUCUGCUAGAAACUUGAAAUUCGUCCACGAAGGAC